AUACGGAGGGUGCAAGCGUUACUCGGAAUCACUGGGCGUAAAGCGCGCGCAGGCGGCUUGAUAAGUUGGAUGUGAAAGCCUACGGCUCAACCGUAGAACUGCAUCCAAAACUGUCAGGCUAGAGUGUGGGAGAGGAAGAUGGAAUUAGUUGUGUAGGGGUAAAAUCCGUAGAGAUAACUAGGAAUACCAAAAGCGAAGGCAAUCUUCUGGAACACUACUGACGCUGAGGCGCGAAGGCGUGGGGAGCAAACAGAAUUAGAUACCCCAGUAGUCC
Molecule: ribosomal RNA, 274 nt
Filed under: uncultured bacterium
Lineage: Bacteria
Description: partial 16S ribosomal RNA
Rfam family: Bacterial small subunit ribosomal RNA
Source: RNAcentral